GGGGAUGUGGCUCAAGCGGUGGAGCGCUUGCCUGGUAUGCGUGGGGCCUGGGUUCGAUCCUCAGCACCA
Molecule: transfer RNA, 69 nt
Filed under: Ictidomys tridecemlineatus (thirteen-lined ground squirrel)
Lineage: Eukaryota; Metazoa; Chordata; Mammalia; Rodentia; Sciuridae
Description: Spermophilus tridecemlineatus (thirteen-lined ground squirrel) tRNA
Rfam family: tRNA
About the family: Transfer RNA (tRNA) molecules are approximately 80 nucleotides in length. Their secondary structure includes four short double-helical elements and three loops (D, anti-codon, and T loops).
Source: Rfam by way of RNAcentral